RNAcentral lists this ribosomal RNA (484 nucleotides) under uncultured bacterium. RNAcentral describes it as "partial 16S ribosomal RNA". It matches the Rfam family "Bacterial small subunit ribosomal RNA", at positions 30 to 507 of the family's 1533-position model. The record is from RNAcentral.
AUUGAACGCUAGCGGGAUGCCUUACACAUGCAAGUCGAACGGCAGCACGGACUUCGGUCUGGUGGCGAGUGGCGAACGGGUGAGUAAUGUAUCGGAACGUGCCCAGUAGCGGGGGAUAACUACGCGAAAGCGUAGCUAAUACCGCAUACGCCCUACGGGGGAAAGCAGGGGAUCGCAAGACCUUGCACUAUUGGAGCGGCCGAUAUCGGAUUAGCUAGUUGGUGGGGUAACGGCUCACCAAGGCGACGAUCCGUAGCUGGUUUGAGAGGACGACCAGCCACACUGGGACUGAGACACGGCCCAGACUCCUACGGGAGGCAGCAGUGGGGAAUUUUGGACAAUGGGGGAAACCCUGAUCCAGCCAUCCCGCGUGUGCGAUGAAGGCCUUCGGGUUGGAAAGCACUUUUGGCAGGAAAGAAACGUCGCGGGUUAAUACCUCGCGAAACUGACGGUACCUGCAGAAUAAGCACCGGCUAACUACGUG